RNAcentral lists this unclassified non-coding RNA (268 nucleotides) under Hevea brasiliensis (rubber tree). The record is from RNAcentral. Lineage: Eukaryota; Viridiplantae; Streptophyta; Magnoliopsida; Malpighiales; Euphorbiaceae.
UGCAGCAUCAAUCUCCACUUUAUUUAUAAUGCAAGUUACAGCUGAAAUGAUAUAAAGAAGAGGGCAUUCCAAUUUACAGAUCAAUAAAAGUGCCACGCAAGCUUUUGAUUCAUAGUUUGCUACCAGCAUUUUCAGAAUUCACUCUCAAUAUCUACCCAGGGAUAGGUAUUACCAUAUUUUCUUCUCGUUUUUCUCCUCUCUUUUUCUUGUAUUUGUAUGUGAGUCCAGUUUAAGGGAAGAUGAUGAAUCUUAUAGUGCUUACCUCAAU